CCCCUAGAUGUUCUGGGCCGCACGCGCGCUACACUGAACAGUUCAACAAGUCUUAACCUUGGCCGAUAGGUCUGGGUAAUCUUUGAACGCUGUUCGUGAUUGGGAUAGACCUUUGCAAUUAUGGGUCUUCAACGAGGAAUUCCUAGUAAACGCAAGUCAUCAGCUUGCAUUGAUUACGUCCCUGCCCUUUGUACCCACCGCCCGUCGCACCUACCGAUUGAAUGGUCCGGUGAAAUCUCGGGACGGCGGCUUGGUCGCUUGCGUCCGACUGCUGAAACUUGAUUAAACCAUAUCAUUUAGAGGAAGGUGAANUCGUAACA
Molecule: ribosomal RNA, 320 nt
Filed under: uncultured eukaryote
Lineage: Eukaryota
Description: partial 18S ribosomal RNA
Rfam family: Eukaryotic small subunit ribosomal RNA
Source: RNAcentral